UUGUACUUGAUACUGUCUGGUAGCC
Molecule: non-coding RNA, 25 nt
Filed under: Mus musculus (house mouse)
Lineage: Eukaryota; Metazoa; Chordata; Mammalia; Rodentia; Muridae
Source: RNAcentral